UGGGGAAUUUGGACAAUGGGCGAAAGCCUGAUCCAGCAAUGCCGCGUGUGUGAAGAAGGCCUUCGGGUUGUAAAGCACUUUUGUCCGGAAAGAAAUCCUUGGCUCUAAUACAGUCGGGGGAUGACGGUACCGGAAGAAUAAGCACCGGCUAACUACGUGCCAGCAGCCGCGGUAAUACGUAGGGUGCAAGCGUUAAUCGGAAUUACUGGCGUAAGCGUGCGCAGGCGGUUUGCUAAGACCGAUGUGAAAUCCCCGGGGCUCAACCUGGGAACUGCAUUGGUGACUGGCAGGCUAGAGUAUGGCAGAGGGGGGUAGAAUUCCACGUGUAGCAGUGAAAUGCGUAGAGAUGUGGAGGAAUACCGAUGGCGAAGGCAGCCCCCUGGGCCAAUACUGACGCUCAUGCACGAAAGCGUGGGGAGCAAACAGGAUUAGAUACCCUGGUAGUCCACGCCCUAAACGAUGUCAACUAGUUGUUGGGGAUUCAUUUCCUUAGUAACGUAGCUAACGCGUGAAGUUGACCGCCUGGGGAGUAC
RNAcentral lists this ribosomal RNA (533 nucleotides) under uncultured bacterium. RNAcentral describes it as "partial 16S ribosomal RNA". It matches the Rfam family "Bacterial small subunit ribosomal RNA", at positions 356 to 883 of the family's 1533-position model. The record is from RNAcentral.